AGACCUACGGGAGGCUGCAGUAAGGAAUAUUGGUCAAUGGGCGGAAGCCUGAACCAGCCAUGCCGCGUGCAGGAUGACUGCCCUAUGGGUUGUAAACUGCUUUUGUCCAGGAAUAAACCUAAAUACGUGUAUUUAGCUGAAUGUACUGGAAGAAUAAGGAUCGGCUAACUCCGUGCCAGCAGCCGCGGUAAUACGGAGGAUCCGAGCGUUAUCCGGAUUUAUUGGGUUUAAAGGGUGCGUAGGCGGCCUAUUAAGUCAGGGGUGAAAUACGGUGGCUCAACCAUCGCAGUGCCUUUGAUACUGAUGGGCUUGAAUCCAUUUGAAGUGGGCGGAAUAAGACAAGUAGCGGUGAAAUGCAUAGAUAUGUCUUAGAACUCCGAUUGCGAAGGCAGCUCACUAAGCUGGUAUUGACGCUGAUGCACGAAAGCGUGGGGAUCGAACAGGAUUAGAUACCCCAGUAGUCAG
Molecule: ribosomal RNA, 465 nt
Filed under: uncultured bacterium
Lineage: Bacteria
Description: bacterial SSU rRNA
Rfam family: Bacterial small subunit ribosomal RNA
Source: RNAcentral